This 239-nucleotide ribosomal RNA is filed under the name uncultured bacterium. RNAcentral's name for it is "partial 16S ribosomal RNA". It matches the Rfam family "Bacterial small subunit ribosomal RNA", at positions 15 to 236 of the family's 1533-position model. The record is from RNAcentral.
GAUCCUGGCUCAGGAUGAACGCUGGCGGCGUGCUUAACACAUGCAAGUCGAACGAAGCACCUUGAUUUGAUUCUUCGGAUGAAGAUCUUGGUGACUGAGUGGCGGACGGGUGAGUAACGCGUGGGUAACCUGCCUCAUACAGGGGGAUAACAGUUAGAAAUGACUGCUAAUACCGCAUAAGACCACAGCACCACAUGGUGCAGGGGUAAAAACUCCGGUGGUAUGAGAUGGACCCGCGU